UACACGGCCCAUUGUAGCCAACAGAGAUUAGUAUCCUAAAAAUCUCAUACUGCCAGUGGAAGCCGACAGUGACUAUAAUAGAAGAGUCGACUCAUUUUAAAAAAAUGAGAGAAGCAUUGGAUUAUCCAAAAAGAGCCUCAAUGAAAGAAAAUAUUUUCAUUUAGAAGAUUUAGUAUAUUAUAACCAAGCGAAGCUCGUUACAAUAA
RNAcentral lists this long non-coding RNA (206 nucleotides) under Elaeis guineensis (African oil palm). RNAcentral's name for it is "long non-coding RNA (EGUI_LNC009301)". The record is from RNAcentral. Lineage: Eukaryota; Viridiplantae; Streptophyta; Magnoliopsida; Arecales; Arecaceae.